This is a long non-coding RNA of Oreochromis aureus, 537 nucleotides long. Lineage: Eukaryota; Metazoa; Chordata; Actinopteri; Cichliformes; Cichlidae. The record is from Ensembl.
CCAGUAACUGGUGCUAACUAAAUGCUAGCUAACUGAACUGUGGAGACAUCAGACAUGAAAAGAGGCGACAGGCAACACUAUUUAAUUGUUGGUCGAGACCACUUGUAAAAAAGAAAAAAAGUCCGACCCAAAGGAGGUACAAGAGGUUUGCAGAGCAGGUGAUCGAAGAGGGACACAAGAAAGCAGAGAUGAGGAGAGAGGAGGCAAAAGAGGAGGUGCAGAAGAGAAUGAAGGUGGUGACAGAGGAGGUGCAGAGCUUGAGCAGGAGAAAGGAGGAGGUGACAGUGUGUCAGAUGAGCAAAGAGAGAAAGGCUGCACAUGGAUGAACAGGUGUUGUGCUGGACCAGAGGUCUGCAACCUUUAACACCCAAAGAGCAUUUGGACGCGAUUUCCACGCAAAAGAAAACACUGGGAGCCACAAAUACUUUUUAACAUCUAAAAUGAAGAUAACACUGUAUAUAUUGUUUUUUUACCUUUAAGCUUUGUGUUAACAACUAAGGUGUGUUUCUUAAAUCCAUGAAGUGCUGCAGAGAAAAU